This 414-nucleotide unclassified non-coding RNA is filed under the name soil metagenome. Its description in RNAcentral is "partial contains 5.8S ribosomal RNA, internal transcribed spacer 2, and large subunit ribosomal RNA". The stretch from base 1 to 121 matches the Rfam family "5.8S ribosomal RNA", at positions 35 to 154 of the family's 154-position model. The record is from RNAcentral.
GAUGAAGAACGCAGCGAAAUGCGAUAGGUAGUGUGAAUUGCAGAUGUAACGUGAAUCAUCGAAUCUUUGAACGCAAAUUGCAUUCCCUGGUAUUCCGGGGAGUAUGCCUGUUUGAGGGUCGCCAAAUACACAUCGAUUAACAUUGCUUUUGAAGUAAAUGUUUUAUCGGAUUUGAGCUUUCUUUAUUCUUUACGAUAAAGUGGCUUAAAAUUUAUUUUUUUUGGUAUCAAGCGUAUUUUACAAUCAAUUUUUGAUUAAAAAAGAACGUUUCGAAUGCCAUCCUUUUAAUGUAAUACGUUUGACUAUAUGUAAUAAAUAUGUAGUUCAUUCGCAUACGAUUCAUAAAUUUUUUUUUUUUGACCUCAAAUCAGGUAAGAGUACCCGCUGAACUUAAGCAUAUCAAUAAGCGGAGGA